Molecule: long non-coding RNA, 2522 nt
Filed under: Paramuricea clavata
Lineage: Eukaryota; Metazoa; Cnidaria; Anthozoa; Malacalcyonacea; Plexauridae
Source: RNAcentral
AGCAUGUUAUUCACGACCUAAAAUCACUAGAUACCGCUCAGGUUCAAGAGCACUGUCCUGCGUUCAAAGAUGGUUGCCCGUUUGCAAAGACAGACGAGAAAGUUUUAACCGAAGCAAUUGAAAAGUGUCCUGAAUUCAAAAAUGGCUGCCCUUUCAAAGGUGCGAAAAGUCUUGCUGAAGUUUACGAGAAGUUGUCUCAUGUUCCACAUGCAGGCCAUGUGAAAGAAGUGUCUGGCCAGAAAUUGGUGGAAAUGUUAAAGAAAAUGCACAGCACUUCGGAAUGUCUGGAAAAGAAGUUAGGAGAUUGUCCUGUGUUUCAUAAAGAUGACGGUUGCCCGUUUAAAAGUGUCCGUAGUGAAGGGAAACAUUUAGUGGAUCCAGUGGACUCCGUUGCUCAUAACUAGGUAUGAUGUCCCACUAUCCCCCAUGUUAACCAACGUUAUUAUAUAUUCAAAGUCUAUUCUCGUCUUAUUAUUCCCUCCACUUAUUAUUCCACUUAGUCAAAGUCCAUUCUCGUCGGGUGGAUAACACAAUCCUGGGCCUUGAUAAUUCUCGAUAUCAUACGAAAACCGAAUUGUUUAUUAUCUUGGUUCCCUGCAUGCCGUAAUUACGAAUAGAUGUUGUUUUUAUUAAUGUUGUUAAUAUCUUAAAUAAAUUAGUGAAUUUAUUUACAGAAUAAAUUAUAUUAAGUGUUUGAUAAUCGAAGUUUGAUGUUCGAUGGCACUUUCGCCUGUUUCGGCGGUAAUGGUCAUCGAAAAUUGCGAGGUCUGCCGCUUCCAUUUACUCAGGAUGCUAUGGGAUAGUUCUAUUUCGGCCUUCAAAGACUUUUGAAUGUAAAAACUGUUCACACUCUUCCAUCGAACAAAGUCCAAUGUGCACACCAAUGGGUUUGAUUUUUAACUUUCUGCAUCAACAUCGCGUAUAUUUGCCUUUCCCAGAAUGCACUGCGGCCCAUUUUACUUUCAGACCCCGUUUGCACGACACAUUUUUGUCCCAAAAAUUUUGUGACAGAUAUUACUUUAUUUUCAGAAUUCAGGUUCAAACAGUUCACUUUUCUCCCACUGUAAUCCCAAGUGACUACUUACCUAAAACCUCUUGUAAUUAUAACUACAAUUCUGUUGCUUUAUUUCAGAGAUUUGAAUGAUGCUAACUUCUAUGGUUGGAGUGAUUCCGAAAUUAAAGUAGUGUCGAAUUUCUUGAUAGAUUCACUGGAAUAUGAAACUUACAAAUAUUUAAAAAUUUCUGUUGCUGUCUUUAGAAGUUAUUUUUGCUUUUUUGUACAUUUUUACAAAGUCGCAUUUAACAUACAGUAGAAACAACAACUAAGUCACGCGCGAAUCAUUAUUUUUUCACAUUCACAACUGAAUGAAUAAGCUCAUUUUAACUUUACUGACUUGGUCAAACGAGGAGACUCAUCGUUACAGGUGACAUUUUGAUAUCUAGAUUAAUAAAAUAAAGGUUUGAUGAGUGUUUUAACUUAAAUAAAACAUGAUGGUGUUGAGAAAGCAUUAAGAACAGCUAACCAAGGUCGCGUGAUUGUCAACCCUCAUAUACUCUCAUUAGUCGCUGGGGAAGCUGUGCCGCCAGCUACUAUAGGUUUUAGCUUCGGCGUUUCGACCUUUAGUUACUAUUUUUAGUAACUGGAAGGACACAAAUCGGAAAAAACCACUGAUCUCAUAGUAGGUGGAUGUACUGUAGCUUGUAAAAUGCGUGCUGAAAACGAGAACCAACGUGAAUUCUCGCAAAUUAAAGAUACUUUGCGAAAGUGUACUGGGCCGAUCAAUCCACCACGAAGAAAAAAUGUUGUGUUAGUGCGUUAGAUUGCUCUAAAAUAUUUCCAUUUGUAUUCGUUCAAUGUUGUCCCUUUGGGCAUAUAGCAUUGGCAAGGCAAUUUCUAUUUUGGUUUCCAAAUAAGGCAGCAAGCAACUACUUUUACAGGAAAAUCAGUAAUAUCGUGUUGUUAGUUGCAUUUAAUUUUGAUCGACAACUCAUCUUUAUUCUUAUUAUAAAGCCUUUUACAAAUACAUGUCUUCAGUGUAAAGUCUGUUAUUUAUCAGUACUAGUACUUGUUUUUAUUCAUUGCACUAACGAAGUCGAAGCCAACGUUAAUAAAGCGUUCUGUAAAGUGAAUUUAUAUUAAUAUUGCAGUUGAAAUUUGAGUCAAGUAUAUCACAGUGUAGACACGUAUACGUAUAUAAUUAUGUGGUGGCCGGACAUUUUGCCGAAAUACAUUUUGCCGAAAGUGAAUUUUGAACAAUGUACUUAUAUAAUACUUCAUUAAUGAGAACUUUUCAACUUUUGCACCAUGUGCAAACACUUGCCCUUUCAGGAACAAAAAAGCGUUCACUUACCCAGGAGUGUGGAAUAAAGUGGUCGGGGGGAUGGAGUUAUUUACUUAUUUCUAGAUUUUACAUUAUCAUGACAUAAUAUGCAUGGAGUCAUUAUAUAGAUAACAUUUCAGAAGUUGGAAAGUUAUAAUUCGCCUAGAAAUGUAGGUGCAUUUUGCCUGCAUUACUAAGAGG